GAUGUAGGCGGCUUGGCAAGUGUUGUGUGAAAGCCCGCAGCUCAACUGCGGAGUUGCAUGGCAAACUGCCUGGCUUGAGGUCGGUAGAGGUGUCUGGAACUCUAGGUGGAGCGGUGAAAUGCGUAGAUAUCUAGAGGAACGCCGGAGGCGAAAGCGGGACACUGGGCCGAUUCUGACGCUGAGAUCCAAAGCGUGGGGAGCAAACAGGAUUAGAUACCCUGGUAGUCC
RNAcentral lists this ribosomal RNA (228 nucleotides) under uncultured bacterium. RNAcentral's name for it is "partial 16S ribosomal RNA". It matches the Rfam family "Bacterial small subunit ribosomal RNA", at positions 568 to 796 of the family's 1533-position model. The record is from RNAcentral.